GAUGGUUCUAGGAUACUCUCAGAGGUGGGAGCUCCCUGGUGAUUCAGCUCUUGGGUGUCUGGGAGUCAUUCAAGGUAGCCUUCAUUCAAUGACUGAUGAACAUGUGGUUAUAAAAGCCUGGCCACUUCACCCCAAUUCAGGACAGCUGGUGUUGGCCCCCAAAAUACUUCCUAAUAAAUCUCCUGCAUGAAAUCACCAUCUCAAAGUGUACCUUCUGGAGAAUACAGUGUUUGGAAAGCAGUAAGUCAUGGCUAAAUACAGCAAUAUGCUCUGGAGUUCACUUGGAUACUUCCCUAGGCAAAAGGCAAGUCCAAUUAUGGAUAAACAUGGCUAGACUACGAGCUCAACAUCAAGAAAAGCCAUUUCACCUAUGUAACCAACUAACCUAGAUGACCAAGCCUAAUUAUAGAGUUUUCAUUCAAAACCACUUUGUGCUUGGUAGACACUAAAUUGAAGCAAGGCAGCAAGUGGGUCUCACAGCCAGUCCCUCAAAGACGUAUCAAAAGCAGGAACUUCUUAAAACACUAGAAACUGAACUAGUACUUUACAACCCAUCAGCAAACUAAAGACGGGGAAGACCACACAAAGAUUAUUCACCUUAAUCAAAAACAUGGGACCAGCUCAGCAGCUCAUCACCACAGAAAAUAGAUGAAUGGAAAGAAAAUGGCUGCUCUAGACACGAGGCAAUUUCUGGAAAUCAGGAUGGUGACAUUGGAGAAGAAACUGAAGAUUCUUGGAGAAAUAUUAACUUCAUCUCAGUAAAAUGGAAGGCUUGCCAUGUUUCUCCUGUGGCUUUGACUACUCCUGGCACAUUGUACCUGCAACUUCCCUGCCUGGCCCUCACCCUGAGGCACAAAGACUCCAGUUUGAAAAGUAUAAUGAUAUUACAAAAUCAUCUUCAUGUGGAGACAUAUUAAAAGAGUAUGCAGCCAAAAGUAUAUAGUAAAAAGGGUAUUAUAUCAGAGAGCUGAAAAAUAAAGUAUUAUCUUUUUAGAUUUUAUGAUUCUGUGGUAUUUAUCAGCUUUUUUACAAUUUGUGAUUUGUUGUAAUGUAUUUAUUCUAAGUAAAUAAUUCACUUUCAUUCUUAAUUUUGUAUUUGUGAUUUUUCUUAAAGAGGGAGCUCCAAAAUUUUAUAAGCUUAAUGUGCAAUCAUAAUACAAAUUUUCCUGUCUGCAACAUAAAAAUUUUUAAUGCCUACAGCCAAAACAGUUUACAGGGUAUGACCAAGAGCUAGAACUAAAC
This 1242-nucleotide long non-coding RNA is filed under the name Homo sapiens (human). RNAcentral describes it as "HSALNT0320753". The record is from RNAcentral. Lineage: Eukaryota; Metazoa; Chordata; Mammalia; Primates; Hominidae.